RNAcentral lists this ribosomal RNA (1208 nucleotides) under metagenome. RNAcentral's name for it is "bacterial SSU rRNA". It matches the Rfam family "Bacterial small subunit ribosomal RNA", at positions 286 to 1521 of the family's 1533-position model. The record is from RNAcentral.
GCCGGACUGAGAGGUUGAACGGCCACAUUGGGACUGAGACACGGCCCAGACUCCUACGGGAGGCAGCAGUGGGGAAUAUUGCACAAUGGGGGAAACCCUGAUGCAGCGACGCCGCGUGGAGGAAGAAGGUCUUCGGAUUGUAAACUCCUGUUGUUGAGGAAGAUAAUGACGGUACUCAACAAGGAAGUGACGGCUAACUACGUGCCAGCAGCCGCGGUAAAACGUAGGUCACAAGCGUUGUCCGGAAUUACUGGGUGUAAAGGGAGCGCAGGCGGGCGAUCAAGUUGGAAGUGAAAUCCAUGGGCUCAACCCAUGAACUGCUUUCAAAACUGAUUGUCUUGAGUAGUGCGGAGGUAGGCGGAAUUCCCGGUGUAGCGGUGGAAUGCGUAGAUAUCGGGAGGAACACCAGUGGCGAAGGCGGCCUACUGGGCACCAACUGACGCUGAGGCUCGAAAGUGUGGGUAGCAAACAGGAUUAGAUACCCUGGUAGUCCACACCGUAAACGAUGAUUACUAGGUGUUGGAGGAUUGACCCCUUCAGUGCCGCAGUUAACACAAUAAGUAAUCCACCUGGGGAGUACGACCGCAAGGUUGAAACUCAAAGGAAUUGACGGGGGCCCGCACAAGCAGUGGAGUAUGUGGUUUAAUUCGACGCAACGCGAAGAACCUUACCAAGUCUUGACAUCCUGCGGCGAUGCUAGAAAUAGUAUUUUCCUUCGGGACGCAGAGACAGGUGGUGCAUGGUUGUCGUCAGCUCGUGUCGUGAGAUGUGGGGUUAAGUCCCGCAACGAGCGCAACCCUUAUGGUCAGUUACUACGCAAGAGGACUCUGGCCAGACUGCCGUUGACGAAACGGAGGAAGGUGGGGAUGACGUCAAAUCAUCAUGCCCUUUAUGACUUGGGCUACACACGUACUACAAUGGCGUUAAACAAAGAGAAGCAAGACCGCGAGGUGGAGCAAAACUCAGAAACAACGUCCCAGUUCGGACUGCAGGCUGCAACUCGCCUGCACGAAGUCGGAAUUGCUAGUAAUCGCAGAUCAGCAUGCUGCGGUGAAUACGUUCCCGGGCCUUGUACACACCGCCCGUCACACCAUGAGAGCCGGGGGGACCCGAAAUCGGUAGUCUAACCGCAAGGAGGACGCCGCCGAAGGUAAAACUGGUGAUUGGGGUGAAGUCGUAACAAGGUAGCCGUACUAGUACGAAGGGUC